Long non-coding RNA from Sebastes umbrosus (honeycomb rockfish), 366 nucleotides. RefSeq lists it as uncharacterized. The record is from RefSeq and is a predicted model, not a curated record. Lineage: Eukaryota; Metazoa; Chordata; Actinopteri; Perciformes; Sebastidae. The transcript is spliced from 3 exons.
AGUAACGGUUCACCAUGGAGGGAGGAAGAAGGAGGAGGGACCGUUGGCUGUUGUCUCUUUUAAACAUGGAUGAUGAGUCUUCAGGUUGGCCUUGAAAUCCACAGACUCUUUGACCUUAGUGCCCAGCAGAGCUCCCAACAUGGCGUCAGCUGACACCCUCACCCUCUUCAGGGCCGGUCUCUUCAUCUUGCCCUUCAACUCAAAGAUCUUCUGAGACAGUCUUCAGGUUGGCCUUGAAGUCCACAGACUCUUUGACCUUAGCGCCCAGCAGAGCUCCCAACAUGGCAUCAGCUGACACCCUCACCCUCUUCAGGGCCGGUCUCUUCAUUUUACCCUUCAGCUCAAAGAUCUUCAGUGACAGAUUUU